UGCAAGUCGAACGAUGAAGCCCUUCGGGGUGGAUUAGUGGCGAACGGGUGAGUAACACGUGGGCAAUCUGCCCUCCACUUCGGGACAAGCCCUGGAAACGGGGUCUAAUACCGGAUGACACUCCUGCCUGCAUGGGCGGGGGUUGAAAGCUCCGGCGGUGGAGGAUGGGCCCGCGGCCUAUCAGCUGGUUGGUGAGGUAACGGCUCACCAAGGCGACGACGGGUAGCCGGCCUGAGAGGGCGACCGGCCACACUGGGACUGAGACACGGCCCAGACUCCUACGGGAGGCAGCAGUGGGGAAUAUUGCACAAUGGGCGCAAGCCUGAUGCAGCGACGCCGCGUGAGGGAUGACGGCCUUCGGGUUGUAAACCUCUUUCAGCAGGGAAGAAGCGCAAGUGACGGUACCUGCAGAAGAAGCGCCGGCUAACUACGUGCCAGCAGCCGCGGUAAUACGUAGGGCGCGAGCGUUGUCCGGAAUUAUUGGGCGUAAAGAGCUCGUAGGCGGCCAGUCACGUCGGGUGUGAAAGCCCGGGGCUCAACCCCGGGUCGGCAUUCGAUACGGGCUGGCUAGAGUGUGGUAGGGGAGAUCGGAAUUCCUGGUGUAGCGGUGAAAUGCGCAGAUAUCAGGAGGAACACCGGUGGCGAAGGCGGAUCUCUGGGCCAUUACUGACGCUGAGGAGCGAAAGCGUGGGGAGCGAACA
Molecule: ribosomal RNA, 701 nt
Filed under: Streptomyces sp.
Lineage: Bacteria; Bacillati; Actinomycetota; Actinomycetes; Kitasatosporales; Streptomycetaceae
Description: bacterial SSU rRNA
Rfam family: Bacterial small subunit ribosomal RNA
Source: RNAcentral